RNAcentral lists this ribosomal RNA (468 nucleotides) under uncultured bacterium. RNAcentral describes it as "partial 16S ribosomal RNA". It matches the Rfam family "Bacterial small subunit ribosomal RNA", at positions 28 to 507 of the family's 1533-position model. The record is from RNAcentral.
GACGAACGCUGGCGGCGUGCUUAACACAUGCAAGUCGAACGGAAAGGCCCUGCUUUUGUGGGGUGCUCGAGUGGCGAACGGGUGAGUAACACGUGAGUAACCUGCCCUUGACUUUGGGAUAACUUCAGGAAACUGGGGCUAAUACCGGAUAGGAGCUCAUGCUGCAUGGUGGGGGUUGGAAAGUUUCGGCGGUUGGGGAUGGACUCGCGGCUUAUCAGCUUGUUGGUGGGGUAGUGGCUUACCAAGGCUUUGACUGGUAGCCGGCCUGAGAGGGUGACCGGCCACCUUGGGACUGCGAGACGGCCCAGACUCCUACGGUAGGCAGCAGUGGGGAAUAUUGCACAGUGGGCGGAAGCCUGAUGCAGCAACGCCGCGUGCGGGAUGACGGCCUUCGGGGUGUAAACCGCUUUCGCCUGUGACGAAGCGUGAGUGACGGUAAUGGGUAAAGAAGCACCGGCUAACUACGUG